AGAAUUUGAGCACUCAUCAAUCCCUGCAACAAUAAAGAAAAUCUUCAACCUUUCUUCCAAUUUCUUAACUCACAGAGAUGCUUGGGCCGGCACUUUUGAAGAUGUUGUUUCCCACUUAACUUCCCCAAGAACUGAUUGUCCAGGUAUUUGACCCCUCUAUUCAAAAAUAAACAAAUUAAUCUUUGUACAUUAGAUUAAAAAGCAAACUGAUCAGUCUUUUAAAAAUUUCAUUCAAUUUUGCUGUUAAAAACUGAUCCGUGUACAUCAAUAUGAAAUACACAUAGUAAGUCAUAUGUCACUACUUAAUUUUUCGUCCGUCGCAUCAAUUUUCAAUAGAAAUGACCAAUUUGCUCUUUAAUCUAAUAUAGAGAGAUUAAUUUGUCAACUUUUUUGAGUAAACGGAACAAAAUGCAAUCUAACUUAAUACAGAGGCCUCAUGAUUCUUUUACCUAGAAAAACCUUAAAAAUUCCUAAGAGAAUAUGUAAUAAUAAGACCAUGUAUGUAAGCUGUUUCAUCUGAAUCUAUUGCAGAAACAUUGUCAGAUGUUGUACCUUUGAGGACAACUGAAGCAAAAGAAGAUGCUGCUCUGUCUGAGUUUCAAAGUGAGGUUGUUCAACUAGCUGCUGUUCUUAACGGUGACCAUUUCUUGAGCAGUUUUCCCGAUGAGAUGAGCAAGAAAAUGACGGUGAAAGAAG
RNAcentral lists this long non-coding RNA (696 nucleotides) under Gossypium raimondii (Peruvian cotton). RNAcentral's name for it is "long non-coding RNA (GRAI_LNC000079)". Lineage: Eukaryota; Viridiplantae; Streptophyta; Magnoliopsida; Malvales; Malvaceae. The record is from RNAcentral.